UAAUGGUGUAUUGGCCAUGGGAGCCCAGAG
This 30-nucleotide non-coding RNA is filed under the name Mus musculus (house mouse). Lineage: Eukaryota; Metazoa; Chordata; Mammalia; Rodentia; Muridae. The record is from RNAcentral.